GCAGGUGCUGCCCGUGGAGGCAGUGGGAGCCCCACUUACUAAGUCAGCAGUACACCCUCAUCUCAAGAUUUGCUGGCUUCGAUGGAGCUGCCUGUGAAGUGGAUCUGGGAGACAGAGGCACUGGAGGUUCCCAGAAGAACUUCAUAAGACGAUGUCAACAGCUAACCUCUUGCAUCAGACCUUGCUGAGGGCUUCCUAACCACCCAAAAAACAUCGUCCAGAAUAGUUCCGUCUGGGCUCAGCUAAGCUGAUCUGUGGUCAUCGCCUGUCAAGUUGGGACGGUCCAGGCCAACACCACAAGGAUGUGAUUUACACUGCUAUCUGUGGUGUGAGGCGGACAUGAGAAAGGACAACUGGGCAGCAGCCAUUCCUAAACGGGUUCUACCUGUGCACCGUGCACUCCUGCAACAUCUAAGAACACUCAGGCCGC
This is a long non-coding RNA of Grammomys surdaster, 430 nucleotides long. RefSeq lists it as uncharacterized. Lineage: Eukaryota; Metazoa; Chordata; Mammalia; Rodentia; Muridae. The record is from RefSeq and is a predicted model, not a curated record. The transcript has 3 exons.